Molecule: ribosomal RNA, 439 nt
Filed under: uncultured bacterium
Lineage: Bacteria
Description: partial 16S ribosomal RNA
Rfam family: Bacterial small subunit ribosomal RNA
Source: RNAcentral
CCUACGGGAGGCAGCAGUGGGGAAUAUUGCACAAUGGGGGAAACCCUGAUGCAGCGACGCCGCGUGGGUGACGAAGUAUUUCGGUAUGUAAAGCCCUAUCAGCAGGGAAGAAGAUGACAGUACCUGACUAAGAAGCCCCGGCUAACUACGUGCCAGCAGCCGCGGUAAUACGUAGGGGGCAAGCGUUAUCCGGAUUUACUGGGUGUAAAGGGAGCGUAGGUGGCAUGGCAAGCCAGAAGUGAAAACCCGGGGCUUAACCCCGCUCCGCCGUUGAAACUGGCGUUCUUGAGUGGGCGAGAAGUAUGCGGAAUGCGUGGUGUAGCGGUGAAAUGCAUAGAUAUCACGCAGAACUCCGAUUGCGAAGGCAGCAUACCGGCGCCCAACUGACGCUGAAGCACGAAAGCGUGGGUAUCGAACAGGAUUAGAUACCCGUGUAGUC